Molecule: non-coding RNA, 72 nt
Organism: Vicugna pacos (alpaca)
Lineage: Eukaryota; Metazoa; Chordata; Mammalia; Artiodactyla; Camelidae
Source: the annotation of a RefSeq genome assembly
GGAGUUAUAGCUCAGGGGUAGAGCAUAUGCUUGUUAUGCACAAGGUCCUGUGUUCAAUCCCCAGUGCCUCCA